AUUCGCCGAUCCGAUCAAUGACGUCAUUGAUCGGCUCCGCAAAAGACACUUACUCCGCGUCGCCAUCGUACACAGUAUAUUUCAUCGUGUCAACGCAAACGCGACCAGAUACACUCGUUACCAUGGCGGCGACAACAAUAAUGGAUCACGCCGUGUGUUUGUAAGAACAAAAUGGGGAAAAGGCUUGCUUGAGCGCAAGUCCCAGCUGGCGACACUUAACGCGGGCGAACGGAGCUAUUAUGGCAUUUUAGUGUUUUGAAGGCUCCGACUGUGACUUUUGCAGAGGAAGCGGCGGUGAAUUGACGUGGAAAGCCUACCCCCAGGCGGGAAUUGCACGCCUCAGGGAAGCUGCAAGAAAACCUUCGCUCUUAAUGGAACUGAGAAAGGUCUGGGUGUAAAUUGAGCGGCGACUUUAUUAAAAAUAUAUAUAUGUG
Phyllopteryx taeniolatus (common seadragon) is the source of this 434-nucleotide long non-coding RNA. RefSeq lists it as uncharacterized. The record is from RefSeq and is a predicted model, not a curated record. Lineage: Eukaryota; Metazoa; Chordata; Actinopteri; Syngnathiformes; Syngnathidae. The transcript is spliced from 2 exons.